GCCAACAUAGCUCAGUUGGUAGAGCAGCUCACUCGUAAUGAGCAGGUCGUCGGUUCGAUUCCGACUGUUGGCUCCA
This 76-nucleotide transfer RNA is filed under the name Lentisphaerota bacterium. Its description in RNAcentral is "Lentisphaerae bacterium (aquatic metagenome) tRNA-Thr". It matches the Rfam family "tRNA". From Rfam's summary of the family: Transfer RNA (tRNA) molecules are approximately 80 nucleotides in length. Lineage: Bacteria; Pseudomonadati; Lentisphaerota. The record is from RNAcentral.